This is a long non-coding RNA of Polyodon spathula (Mississippi paddlefish), 537 nucleotides long. RefSeq lists it as uncharacterized. Lineage: Eukaryota; Metazoa; Chordata; Actinopteri; Acipenseriformes; Polyodontidae. The transcript is spliced from 3 exons. The record is from RefSeq and is a predicted model, not a curated record.
AUUAGAACAGAGAAGACAGGCACUCAGCACCUGUGAUACUUUACAAGACAGGAGCACUGCUGAUGGGAUUCUUUCCAAAGAAUAUGAAGAUGUUUUUCAAAAGAGGAGUUGGAACGUCAGCAAACACAAUGGGGCUGGAAACAAUAGCAAUACUUUUACUUAUAGCAGCUUCCAGUAUAGCCCAGUCUGAAAAUACAACCACUACAGCCCCGACUACAACCACAAGCACUGCAGCCCCGACUACAACCACAACCACUGUGGCACCCACUACAACCACAACCACUGCAGCCCCAACUACAACCACAACCACUGCAGCCCCAACUACAACUACAGUAGCUCCCACUACAACCACAACCACUGCAGCACCGACUAUAACCACAACAGCUCCCACUACAACCACUGCAGCCCCGACUAUAACCACAACCACUCCAACCCCCACUACAACCACAAAUACUGCAGCCACCACUACAUCCACAACCACUACAGCCCCAACUACAACAACCACUACAGCCCCUAGUACAACCACAACCACUACAG